RNAcentral lists this unclassified non-coding RNA (1628 nucleotides) under Hevea brasiliensis (rubber tree). The record is from RNAcentral. Lineage: Eukaryota; Viridiplantae; Streptophyta; Magnoliopsida; Malpighiales; Euphorbiaceae.
AUCAUCAUCUUCAUCAUCAUCAUCCUCCUCCUCCUCCUGUAAUAACUCAAGGUCAGGUAUAUUGCUGACAACAUCAACUUCCCCAUAUGCUUUUGGCUUUGCCUUUGGAUCGCUAGGACGACCUCGAUCCUUCUUAACCAAUAGUGAAGGACAAACCUCUCUAAAUAAAAUCAUGAGUGACCUAGCUGCAACUGAAACUGCCUUCUCAUGUGAUUUUUUAUACAAUACAAGAUCUUGCAGCAAAUCUUCUGUCAUCAACAGAGGCAUUCGCAAACAUAUUUCCCUUAUCACAUUGAGCCCAACAGCAAUAGCCUCUGGACGUGAACGGUCAUGCACAAAUUGAUUCACGAUUUGUUUGAAUAAUGGUUCAACUGCAUCUGGAGGCACCAUAUUGUGGCAUGCCUGAACAGCUGCUGCAAGUAAAUUUGUGAUAUCACGUUGAUGUGGCUGAACAUAUUUCUGAAGAAAAGGAUAAAAAUUUAACAACAUCAAUCGGUGAAGUCCAACAGUUCGAGCAAUUAGUUUCAACAUCAUCAUCUUAACCUCAAAACGUUCAUUGCAAGUCUGGAGGCGAGAGAAUAACCUCUCAGCAAAUCCCUGUGCAUCUUUAAGAUGAUUAAGUGGUGAAUAAUAACUUGAACCACUGUUUUCUGCCGACAGGCGUUGCUGCCUUUUCAUGCUGCGCAUGGCACGCUGCAGUUUUGCUUUCUUUUUCUUUUUACUGGAUACUGUGCCUUUAUGAUGUGCCUUAUAAAUAGCCUCUUUACUAAGGACAACUUGAGACAUUUGAGGAUUUGAGUCAUCUUCACUGCUGGAAGCAUCACUGUCAUCACUGUCAUCAUCCUCAAUCUUCUCAUAAUUCAGAAGAAAUGAUAGAGCAGCAAUCAUGAUCCUGGAUGAUGAAUGAAAACAUGCCAUACAAAUUGCAUUUGCUGUUCUAUCAUCAAACCACACCUUUCUCCGGUGAAACUCACAUAGUGUAAUAAGAGAUCUCUUGGCUCUUGCUUCAUCCUCUUGCUGUAGCAUUGCAAACAAGAUAUUCUGAAGAACUCUAUUCUUAGCCUCAUUUUUGUGCUUCUUAUUCAUGCGCCUGAUGCUAUGAACAACAUGAGAGAAUGCCAAUUUUCUUAAAUUUCUAUCUCCCAGAGUUUGAAGCUCCAUAAACAAUGCAAGAGUUUCACUGAUAUCAACCAUCUUUCGAUUAAUUAAGAGAAUAAGAGCUUGAGUAACAUGACACCUCAGCCCCGAGGGCAGCGAACGUGCAGAGGUUUUGAGAAACUCGGCGAGUUGACUCGGGAACUUGGCCAAUUGUUUGGGGUAAAAAGGAGUCACAUGAGCCAAAAACAUAGCUCGAUCCCCGAGAUCCUUGACAAUGAUGGGGUCGGCGCAGACGCCAGACGAGAAGAUAGAUGUGAAAUUGAGAGCUGCUUGCUGUUGAAAUAGCUCAAGAGCCGAGUUGAAUUGAAUGUAGAGGACACCAAGCUCGGUCUCAUAACCUUCCGGGUCCAUUUUCAUUUUGGAUUGGAGAGCAGGUAGGUUCAGCUUGUCGGAGCUCCGACCAGAGGCGGAAAGCGUCUCCGACGCCAUUGGCAGUAGUUGGGAUUUAGAUUGGGGGUUGGUAUUUGAAG